AGGGCGAUUUGUUUCACGUGUAAGUUCUAGAGCCUGCAAAGCUAGGGGUGGCACUUCCCUGUGAGAACUGGCCUGAACGCUGCUUUUGCCAGGCCUGAUAAACCUCUUGUCCAGGGCUCGGUGAACCAGAGUGCAAGUCUGACUCCCAGCCCCUGCUUUCCUCUCGCUGGUCCCAGCCUCACCCCCAGGCACUCCGCCGCCCCGAGCUGACUGCUUUGGAAGGGCUGAGCUGAGCGUCAGCGCUGGGCAUGCCGGGCCCCCGGGCUCUCACCGGCCUGCCUGCGGGAAUGCUUCUCUACGCUCCUGGGCCCGGGGCUGUGCCAAGCAGCUGAGUGCAGAACAGGAGCCCUGUGGGGUGUGGUGAGUUGCACAGACAGGCCGGGGCUGGCCCUGGCACCGUGCCACCCCGAGCGGGUAGGUGGGCUGCCCUAGGCAAUCCCCAACCACACCUUAACAUCUGAGGUGGGCAUGGGAAGACCGACCUCUCCUGGUUCAGAGCCUGAAUGCUCCAAGCCUCAGCAGCUGCUCCAGGCUGGGGCAGCCCUGAAGGAGGGGAGGAGGGGGCCAGGACCCGUGCCAGCGUGGGGACGAGGCCAGCAGCCGGCACGGGGUUGGCUUACGUCCAGCAGAGCAUGCGAGAGGUACAGGGCCGUUCUGCAGGAGGACUGGCAGGCUGUGGGGCUUGGCACAGUCUCCAGACCCGGCGCAGGGCUUUUCUUUCUUGAGUUCAGCUAAACCCGGGGCGUUCUCGCUCCUGCAGUUAUUCCUUCCUGGGGCAGUGUUCGGAGAAGCAAUCCCAGUGGGACUGCCGGUUUGUUGCCAAGCAGGUUACCUCCUGGAGCCUCUGCCCGACUCCCCGGCCUUUGUCUUCUCCCUGCCAGAGGAGCCUGUGCUGUCUCAGGUGGCAGAAGAGCGGCUCAGGUCUAUGAACGAUGUUGUAGAUAGGAGACCAAAGCUACAGCCCUGUGGCAGAACCAGGCGCAGAAUCCAGCUCCCAGAUUCCCAGGCUGAUAUCAUCCCUCGCACCAAGCAGUCUACACACCCUCCUGUCUCAGAGAGAGUGCCGUGUUUCAACCAGUUCAAAUGUGCUAAGAAGACUGUGUGUGGUUAUGCAAGUCCUAUGCAGACGCUAACAAUGUAAGGCAGUCAGGGAUGUCCGGGCUUUAGAGCAGGGCAGGCACGCCUAUGCUCAUGCUUCUGUCUCUCCUCCCACCCAGAGGAGGAAAAUGAUCACAGCCACUCCAUGUUGGCAGUAAAGAGCCAGAUUCCCCUCUCAGGGGUGUACCUUGUAUGCACAGGGCUUGGGGAGUAGUGAGAAUAAAGGGUGAUUUCUUUUCUUCUUGCCCAAGAGAAACUCCCUGCAAAGCAACCAAACCACAGUGAGCUUCUAAGAGGGUUUUCUAACCACUGAGAAGUCAACCCCUGAUGUCAUUUAGCACUGCUCCCUUCUUACCAACUGUCUGCUAUGACAUGAUGGAGCUAAGUAGGAGCGCUGCUGAAAUACAGUCUAGGGAGUGAGAAAUUAAGAGACAGCUGCAAGGGAAAAAGGGAUUUUUUUAAGCAAGGAAGGAAACGAGACAGCAACCAACAAAACAGAUAAAAGCAAGAUGACUGUUCCAGAGGACUGUGGAAGAGGGCAGAGUAGGAAGCUGUGGGGAUCAGUUCCUCCAGAACAACUAUUAAACACCCCAGAAAUGGUCUGAAACAACUGUUAAGAAACUCCAGUGUCUGGCAGAACACUCUACAGCAUCCAAGUAUGAGCAGGAGGAAGACACUGAUCAAUUACAGCGAAUGCCGGUAAAUUGCUGCCCCACGUGGUGGUUUCCAGCACCCAUCCCAUUCUUGUAGCAAGGCAGCAGUGGGGUCUGGCCCCUGGUGGAGCUUGCUGGUGACAGAGAGGGAUAUGAAAUUCCACUUCCCCAAGAGCCAGGGGGCUGGGCCAUGGACCAUGGAUUUUUGUUAGCUGCUAUGGAUUGCUGGGGCCCAGCUCUGAGGUGGCCCAUAUGCCAACCCACCCCUGACAAGGCAGCAGGAGACUUAAAGAUGGUAUGUUACCUGCAAAGGAUGGUUGAAAGGCUGGAUUUGCUGAUUAGGUCAAUAAAUGAUACCUUUAGGGAGCCUUGGAAGAAGCUCCUGGCACCCUUCCUGGCCCAUCAUCAUCCUCUUCUCAAGGCAAUUUGGAGCCAGCCAGUGUUCUCUUUGUAAUCCCUGACCAUGUUCCAGCCAGGGAAGCCUGAUUUGGGAAUCUCCUCUCUGCCUUGUUCCGCCUCCCAGAAUUUGCCCUCCAGGCAAAAGCAGCUUGAUACCAGCAAAGACAUAUAGGAAAUAUUUGAGGCUGAUGGCCUGGGGCAAAGGCUUACCUACUUUCAGUUGGACAGUGGAAAACCUGGGAGAGAGAGAAGGUGUGUCUACUGUGAAGUAGAACGAGCAUUGAAAAUACUGUAAACAGGGAAACUCCUAACACCAUUAGCAAGCACAAGCCCGGAACAAGACACAGGACCAGCAAGUAUAGGGAGAAUCCUACACUUUGCAUUCACCUUGGUCAGACUUUCCUGAUAGGAGGAGGGCUGACAUACAAGAAAAUCUUUGUCAUAUCACCAGCUGGUUAAAAGCUCAAGAAACAGACAUGUAAGGGAAUAAAUCUCAGAGUUAACAUUUGAAUAUUUAAAUACGUACAGUGUGCAAUAAAAAUUACAAGACAGAAAAGGAAAUAGGAAAUGAUGAGCCAGUCAUAGGAAGAAGAUAAAAAGUACACAAAUGAAGAAGGCCAGCCUAUAGAUAUACCAGAGAAAGACUUAAAAAAGUAAUCUUCCAUAUGUUUCAAGGAGAUGAAGGAAAAUACAUAGACCUAAAGGCUAUCUGGAAAACAAUGAAUGAACAAUAUUAGAUUCUUAAUCAAAAGACAGAAAUUUUAAAAAGGAAUCAAAUAGAGCUAUUGGAGAUGAAAAUCAUAAUAACCAAAUGAAAAAUUCCCAGGAGGAUUUCAACAGUAGAAUGGAGCUGGAAGAAGAAAGAAUCUGUGAACUUAAAGAAAAGACAAUUGAAUUGAGUCAGGCAGAGGAUCAGAAGAAAAAAAGAACUACAAAAAGAGAAAUAAAAUAACACUCUGGGACACCAUCAGGCACACCAAUAUAUGUAUGAUGGAAGAUCCAGAAGAAGAAGGGGGAAGAAGAGCAGAAACAAUAUUAAAGAAAUAAUGACAAAGACUCCCCAAACUUAGCAAAAAAUGUGCUGUGUAAAAGGGAGUCCUAAUUAGAUUAGGUGUCAAUUUCGCAUCAGAAACCAUGGAGGCAAGAAGUCAGUGGGUUGAAACACUUUAAGUGCUGAAAGAAUACAAUUGCCAACCAAAAAAUUUUAUAUCCUGUGAGACUUUCUUUCAAAAUAGAGGAAGAGUUCAAGACCUUCCCAGAUAAACAAAAGCUGAGGGAAUUCAUCACCACUAGAACUGCCUGACAAGAAAUCCUAAAGGGAGUUCUUCAGACUGAAAGGAAAGGACACUAGAUGUGGUUCAAAGUGGCAUAAAGAAAUAAAGACCUCGGUAAAUGUAACCAUUGGUAAUUAUAAAUGCCACUAUUAUUGUAUAGUAAUUUUUAGUAUGUAAUUUCACUUCUUACUUCCUGCUGGUACUAAAAUAUAAUUGAAUAAAAAGAAAUGAUAAAUCUAUGGUUAUGGACAUACAAUGUACUAAGACAUUUGUAACUAGUACAAAAAAAGGUAAGGGGAUGAAGGAGUAUAAGAACAGUGCAGUGUAUGCUACUGGAGACAAAUUGGUAUCAAAUCAAUAUGAGGUGGCGGACUUGGCCCAGUGGUUAGGGUGUCUGUCUACCACAUGGGAGGUCUGCGGUUCAAACCUCAGGCCUCUUUGACCCAUGUGCAGUGCUGAUGUGUGCAAGGAGUGCCGUGUUACACAGGGGUGUCCCUAUGUAGGGGAGCCCCACACACAAGGAGUGUACCCCGUAAGGAGAGCCGCCCAGCGCUAAAGAAAGUGCAGCCUGCCCAGGAAUGGUGCCGCCUACACGGAGAGCUGACACAACAAGAUGACACCACAAAAAGAAACACAGAUUCCCGUGCCACUGACAACAACAGAAGAGGACAAAGAAGAUGCAGCAAAUAGACACAGAGAAC
Molecule: long non-coding RNA, 4125 nt
Filed under: Dasypus novemcinctus (nine-banded armadillo)
Lineage: Eukaryota; Metazoa; Chordata; Mammalia; Cingulata; Dasypodidae
Description: lncRNA (ENSDNOG00000049840.1)
Source: RNAcentral